This 52-nucleotide transfer RNA is filed under the name Cercopithecus nictitans martini. RNAcentral's name for it is "partial tRNA-Cys". Lineage: Eukaryota; Metazoa; Chordata; Mammalia; Primates; Cercopithecidae. The record is from RNAcentral.
GCCCCGAGGUGAUUUACAUGUUGAAUUGCAAGUUCAAAGGAGCAGCUAGGUC